This 849-nucleotide ribosomal RNA is filed under the name uncultured Bacillus sp. RNAcentral describes it as "bacterial SSU rRNA". It matches the Rfam family "Bacterial small subunit ribosomal RNA", at positions 58 to 889 of the family's 1533-position model. Lineage: Bacteria; Bacillati; Bacillota; Bacilli; Caryophanales; Bacillaceae. The record is from RNAcentral.
CAAGUCGAGCGAAUCAAUAGGAGCUUGCUCCUGUUGGUUAGCGGCGGACGGGUGAGUAACACGUGGGCAACCUGCCUGUAAGAUUGGGAUAACACCGGGAAACCGGUGCUAAUACCGGAUAAUUCUUAUCAACACAUGUUGGUAAGCUGAAAGUCGGUUUCGGCUGACACUUACAGAUGGGCCCGCGGCGCAUUAGCUAGUUGGUGAGGUAACGGCUCACCAAGGCGACGAUGCGUAGCCGACCUGAGAGGGUGAUCGGCCACACUGGGACUGAGACACGGCCCAGACUCCUACGGGAGGCAGCAGUAGGGAAUCUUCCACAAUGGACGAAAGUCUGAUGGAGCAACGCCGCGUGAGCGAAGAAGGCCUUCGGGUCGUAAAGCUCUGUUGUCAGGGAAGAACAAGUAUCGGAGUAACUGCCGGUACCUUGACGGUACCUGACCAGAAAGCCACGACUAACUACGUGCCAGCAGCCGCGGUAAUACGUAGGUGGCAAGCGUUGUCCGGAAUUAUUGGGCGUAAAGCGCGCGCAGGCGGUCCUUUAAGUCUGAUGUGAAAGCCCACGGCUCCACCGUGGAGGGUCAUUGGAAACUGGGGGACUUGAGUGCAGAAGAGGAAAGCGGAAUUCCACGUGUAGCGGUGAAAUGCGUAGAGAUGUGGAGGAACACCAGUGGCGAAGGCGGCUUUCUGGUCUGUAACUGACGCUGAGGCGCGAAAGCGUGGGGAGCAAACAGGAUUAGAUACCCUGGUAGUCCACGCCGUAAACGAUGAGUGCUAAGUGUUAGAGGGUUUCCGCCCUUUAGUGCUGCAGCUAACGCAUUAAGCACUCCGCCUGGGGAGUACGGCCGC